RNAcentral lists this ribosomal RNA (790 nucleotides) under unidentified marine bacterioplankton. RNAcentral describes it as "bacterial SSU rRNA". It matches the Rfam family "Bacterial small subunit ribosomal RNA", at positions 9 to 792 of the family's 1533-position model. The record is from RNAcentral.
GAGUUUGAUCAUGGCUCAGAUGAAACGCUGGCGGCAGGCUUAACACAUGCAAGUCGAGCGGAAACGAUGAUAGCUUGCUAUCAGGCGUCGAGCGGCGGACGGGUGAGUAAUACUUAGGAAUCUACCUAGUAGUGGGGGAUAGCUCGGGGAAACUCGAAUUAAUACCGCAUACGACCUACGGGAGAAAGGGGGCAACUUGUUGCUCUCGCUAUUAGAUGAGCCUAAGUCGGAUUAGCUAGAUGGUGGGGUAAAGGCCUACCAUGGCGACGAUCUGUAGCUGGUCUGAGAGGAUGAUCAGCCACACCGGGACUGAGACACGGCCCGGACUCCUACGGGAGGCAGCAGUGGGGAAUAUUGGACAAUGGGGGCAACCCUGAUCCAGCCAUGCCGCGUGUGUGAAGAAGGCCUUUUGGUUGUAAAGCACUUUAAGCAGUGAAGAAGACUCCAUGGUUAAUACCCAUGGACGAUGACAUUAGCUGCAGAAUAAGCACCGGCUAACUCUGUGCCAGCAGCCGCGGUAAUACAGAGGGUGCAAGCGUUAAUCGGAAUUACUGGGCGUAAAGCGAGCGUAGGUGGCUUGAUAAGUCAGAUGUGAAAUCCCCGGGCUUAACCUGGGAACUGCAUCUGAUACUGUUAGGCUAGAAUAGGUGAGAGGAAGGUAGAAUUCCAGGUGUAGCGGUGAAAUGCGUAGAGAUCUGGAGGAAUACCGAUGGCGAAGGCAGCCUUCUGGCAUCAUAUUGACACUGAGGUUCGAAAGCGUGGGUAGCAAACAGGAUUAGAUACCCUGGUA